AUGGAUCUUCUCCAGUUUGUGCUCAACUUUAAAGGCACACCACCAUGGCUGAACUCGACGGCCAUUAACGCCCUUACGGACCGUUGGAGGCCGGAGACGCACUCUUUUCACCUUGCUCUUGGUGAGAUGACCGUCACUUUGGAGGAUAUUGCGAUGAUCUCCGGUCUUCCGAUCGAGGGCAGGGCUCUUACCGGGAAGGUGAAGUCCGAGGGGUGGCGACAAAGGGUUGCAGGUUUGGUUGGUGUUGAACCUCCCCAGUGGAUUCAUGAAACAAAGAAGGAUCUUAGGCCAUCUGGUGUUUUGUUCUCGUGGCUACAAGAACAUUUUUACGAGUGCCCAGAGAAUGCCAGUCCGGCUGUUGUGGAGAGGUACGCAAGGGCUUACUUAUGGAAUCUUAUGACCCAA
This 405-nucleotide ribosomal RNA is filed under the name Triticum aestivum (bread wheat). RNAcentral's name for it is "partial small subunit ribosomal RNA". Lineage: Eukaryota; Viridiplantae; Streptophyta; Magnoliopsida; Poales; Poaceae. The record is from RNAcentral.